CGGGUGAGUAACACGUGGAUAACCUACCUAUAAGACUGGGAUAACUUCGGGAAACCGGAGCUAAUACCGGAUAAUAUUUUGAACCGCAUGAUUACAAAGUAAAAGACGGUCUUGCUGUCACUUAUAGAUGGAUCCGCGCUGCAUUAGCUAGUUGGUAAGGUAACGGCUUACCAAGGCAACGAUGCAUAGCCGACCUGAGAGGGUGAUCGGCCACACUGGAACUGAGACACGGUCCAG
This 237-nucleotide ribosomal RNA is filed under the name uncultured Staphylococcus sp. Its description in RNAcentral is "partial 16S ribosomal RNA". It matches the Rfam family "Bacterial small subunit ribosomal RNA", at positions 103 to 334 of the family's 1533-position model. Lineage: Bacteria; Bacillati; Bacillota; Bacilli; Caryophanales; Staphylococcaceae. The record is from RNAcentral.